AACGCAUAUUGCGCUCUUUGGUAUUCCGAAGAGCAUGCUUGUUUGAGUAUCAGUAAACACCUCAAAAGAUUUUCUUUAUUGAAAUGAUUUUGGACUUGAGCAAUCCCAACACCAGUCUUCACGGAUCGGCGGAGGGUUGCUUGAAAUGCAGGUGCAGCUGGACAUUCUCCUGAGCUAAAAGCAUAUCUAUUUAGUCCCGUCAAACGGAUUAUUACUUUUGCUGCAGCUAACAUAAAGGGAGUUUGACCAUUUUGGCUGACUGAUGCAGGAUUUCACAAGGGUCGGUAAAACGAUUUUUGUAAAACUCGAUCUCAAAUCAAGUAAGACUACCCGCUGAACUUAA
RNAcentral lists this unclassified non-coding RNA (343 nucleotides) under Mortierella sp. Its description in RNAcentral is "partial contains 5.8S ribosomal RNA, internal transcribed spacer 2, and large subunit ribosomal RNA". The record is from RNAcentral. Lineage: Eukaryota; Fungi; Mortierellomycota; Mortierellomycetes; Mortierellales; Mortierellaceae. RNAcentral also lists the same sequence under 1 other name.